This 55-nucleotide transfer RNA is filed under the name Hanusia phi. RNAcentral describes it as "partial tRNA". It matches the Rfam family "tRNA", at positions 2 to 55 of the family's 71-position model. From Rfam's summary of the family: Transfer RNA (tRNA) molecules are approximately 80 nucleotides in length. The record is from RNAcentral. Lineage: Eukaryota; Cryptophyceae; Pyrenomonadales; Geminigeraceae.
GCGCUAUAGCUUAGUGGUAGAGCGUUGCACUAGUAAUGCAAAGGUCAUGAGUUCA